UAUUUUUCUAAUAUAACAAGUAUAAUUGGCUUCCAACCAGUAAGUCUGGAACCUCCAGGAAAAAUAA
This 67-nucleotide transfer RNA is filed under the name Bitias brevis. RNAcentral describes it as "tRNA-Gly". The record is from RNAcentral. Lineage: Eukaryota; Metazoa; Arthropoda; Malacostraca; Decapoda; Pandalidae.